Molecule: long non-coding RNA, 278 nt
Filed under: Homo sapiens (human)
Lineage: Eukaryota; Metazoa; Chordata; Mammalia; Primates; Hominidae
Description: HSALNT0027255
Source: RNAcentral
GGCUGCAGUACUACAUACAGGCCUCAAGGAGAAGCUGGGGUUUCAGUGGGAAGUGGAGGACUGGAAGGGGAGAGUUGGGGUGAAAAGCCUCGGUUGGAGCUGGCCGUCCUGGGGAGCACGGGAGCCCCACUUCCACUCUAGCCACCUCCUCUACAGCAAGCUGAGCUCAGGAGCCUGGCAAGCACAGUGGUGGGGCCAGGAGCUGGGGCACAAGUGUGAAAGCCAAAGUAUGCCAAGUGGAGGGACGUCUUUCCCAUGGUCUCCAGGGAACCUUCACG